This 652-nucleotide long non-coding RNA is filed under the name Penaeus japonicus. Its description in RNAcentral is "uncharacterized LOC122259426". Lineage: Eukaryota; Metazoa; Arthropoda; Malacostraca; Decapoda; Penaeidae. The record is from RNAcentral.
AUAUUUUUACCUCUAGUGAUUGCCGGUCUCUCAUGUGGUGAGUGUGACAGAGUUGGGCGGCCCCUCCUCCUCAUGGUUCUCAUUGCUGGGGCCAAGUCACACAAUCGAUCGUGACGCGCGGUUGAUCUUGCUGGUUGUUUUCGGCAGUAGACUCACUAUUGGUGACUUUUUUUUUACAUUUCGUUUAUAAAAAAAGGGUUAGCAAAAUUGAAAAAAAAAAGAGAAAAAAUCGUGUUUUUACAGCCGCCCCCUUGGUAUGUAUACAUGUGUUCGGCACCGGUGACAAGUGGCUGUCCUGGCAACCCGAGGGAGGAAGUGCUACCAUCGGAAAGUGGAAAUAUUUCUGCCUGAAGUUCUCUGGUGAAGUUCGUCCACUUCGUUUCUUGCGCAACUCCAGCGGUUGAUUUCCUUCCACCUCUGGAUGGAAGUCAAUUAAUUAAGGUCCUCAGUAUGUAGAUAAGGAGGCCUCGGAAGGAAACAAGUAAAUAAAACUCUCCGCCAGGCUGCCUUACCUGAUCGACUGGGAAAAGGAUCAUAGACGCAGGUCGACGCAACAGCUGCCGCCGCCAUGUCGCUGGAAAUCCACGUCGCCAGGGCUUCGAACCUACAGAACCUUGAGAAUUUCGGCAAAAGUGAUCCUUACGUAACUUCC